GACGAACGCUGGCGGCGUGCCUAAUACAUGCAAGUUGAGCGAUGAAGAUUGGUGCUUGCACCAAUUUGAAGAGCAGCGAACGGGUGAGUAACGCGUGGGGAAUCUGCCUCUGAGCGGGGGACAACAUUUGGAAACGAAUGCUAAUACCGCAUAACAACUUUAAACAUAAGUUUUAAGUUUGAAAGAUGCAAUUGCAUCACUCAAAGAUGAUCCCGCGUUGUAUUAGCUAGUUGGUGAGGUAAAGGCUCACCAAGGCGAUGAUACAUAGCCGACCUGAGAGGGUGAUCGGCCACAUUGGGACUGAGACACGGCCCAAACUCCUACGGGAGGCAGCAGUAGGGAAUCUUCGGCAAUGGACGAAAGUCUGGCCGAGCAACGCCGCGUGAGUGAAGAAGGUUUUCGGAUCGUAAAACUCUGUUGGUAGAGAAGAACGUUGGUGAGAGUGGAAAGCUCAUCAAGUGACGGUAACUACCCAGAAAGGGACGGCUAACUACGUG
Molecule: ribosomal RNA, 497 nt
Filed under: uncultured bacterium
Lineage: Bacteria
Description: partial 16S ribosomal RNA
Rfam family: Bacterial small subunit ribosomal RNA
Source: RNAcentral